UGGGGGAUAUUGCACAAUGGGCGAAAGCCUGAUGCAGCGACGCCGCGUGGGGGAUGAAGGCUUUCGGGUUGUAAACCUCUUUCGCUAUCGAACAAGGCCCGCUUAGGGUGGGUUGAGGGUAGGUGGAGAAGAAGCGCCUGCUAACUACGUGCCAGCAGCCGCGGUAAUACGUAGGGCGCGAGCGUUGUCCGGAAUUAUUGGGCGUAAAGGGCUUGUAGGCGGCUUGUUGCGCCUGCUGUGAAAACGCGGGGCUUAACUUCGCGCGUGCAGUGGGUACGGGCAGGCUUGAGUGUGGUAGGGGUGACUGGAAUUCCAGGUGUAGCGGUGGAAUGCGCAGAUAUCUGGAGGAACACCGAUGGCGAAGGCAGGUCACUGGGCCAUUACUGACGCUGAGGAGCGAAAGCAUGGGUAGCGAACAGG
This 420-nucleotide ribosomal RNA is filed under the name bacterium. RNAcentral describes it as "partial 16S ribosomal RNA". It matches the Rfam family "Bacterial small subunit ribosomal RNA", at positions 355 to 776 of the family's 1533-position model. The record is from RNAcentral.